Molecule: non-coding RNA, 101 nt
Organism: Myotis lucifugus (little brown bat)
Lineage: Eukaryota; Metazoa; Chordata; Mammalia; Chiroptera; Vespertilionidae
Source: Rfam
UGUGCACCAGUGGGGUCCCUCGGCCUGGCCUGCAACAUCCCUCGAGCGGUCCUGGAUUGCGAGAGGGUGCAGGCCAGGCUGAGGGACCCCACUGGUGCACG